AGCUUCAUGGCGCAGUGGCGACGCACCAGUUUUCACAGACUGGAGUCCUCUGUUCGAAUCAGAGUGAAGCUG
Non-coding RNA from Hypoxylon fuscum, 72 nucleotides. Lineage: Eukaryota; Fungi; Ascomycota; Sordariomycetes; Xylariales; Hypoxylaceae. The record is from the annotation of a GenBank genome assembly.